UACGGGGGGGGCAAGCGUUGUUCGGAAUUACUGGGCGUAAAGGGCCAGUAGGCGGCCAACUAAGUCCGACGUGAAAUCCCCAGGCUUAACCUGGGAACUGCGUCGGAUACUGGAUGGCUUGAAUCCGGGAGAGGGAUGCAGAAUUCCAGGUGUAGCGGUGAAAUGCGUAGAUAUCUGGAGGAACACCGGUGGCGAAGGCGGCAUUCUGGACCGACAUUGACGCUGAGGAGCGAAAGCCAGGGGAGCAAACGGG
This 253-nucleotide ribosomal RNA is filed under the name uncultured bacterium. RNAcentral describes it as "partial 16S ribosomal RNA". It matches the Rfam family "Bacterial small subunit ribosomal RNA", at positions 524 to 776 of the family's 1533-position model. The record is from RNAcentral.